RNAcentral lists this ribosomal RNA (809 nucleotides) under Mycobacterium sp. RNAcentral describes it as "bacterial SSU rRNA". It matches the Rfam family "Bacterial small subunit ribosomal RNA", at positions 107 to 928 of the family's 1533-position model. Lineage: Bacteria; Bacillati; Actinomycetota; Actinomycetes; Mycobacteriales; Mycobacteriaceae. The record is from RNAcentral.
UGAGUAACACGUGGGUAAUCUGCCCUGCACUUCGGGAUAAGCCUGGGAAACUGGGUCUAAUACCGGAUAGGACCAUUUAGCGCAUGCUUUAUGGUGGAAAGCUUUUGCGGUGUGGGAUGGGCCCGCGGCCUAUCAGCUUGUUGGUGGGGUGACGGCCUACCAAGGCGACGACGGGUAGCCGGCCUGAGAGGGUGUCCGGCCACACUGGGACUGAGAUACGGCCCAGACUCCUACGGGAGGCAGCAGUGGGGAAUAUUGCACAAUGGGCGCAAGCCUGAUGCAGCGACGCCGCGUGGGGGAUGACGGCCUUCGGGUUGUAAACCUCUUUCAGCAGGGACGAAGCGCAAGUGACGGUACCUGCAGAAGAAGCACCGGCCAACUACGUGCCAGCAGCCGCGGUAAUACGUAGGGUGCGAGCGUUGUCCGGAAUUACUGGGCGUAAAGAGCUCGUAGGUGGUUUGUCGCGUUGUUCGUGAAAUCUCACGGCUUAACUGUGAGCGUGCGGGCGAUACGGGCAGACUGGAGUACUGCAGGGGAGACUGGAAUUCCUGGUGUAGCGGUGGAAUGCGCAGAUAUCAGGAGGAACACCGGUGGCGAAGGCGGGUCUCUGGGCAGUAACUGACGCUGAGGAGCGAAAGCGUGGGGAGCGAACAGGAUUAGAUACCCUGGUAGUCCACGCCGUAAACGGUGGGUACUAGGUGUGGGUUUCCUUCCUUGGGAUCCGUGCCGUAGCUAACGCAUUAAGUACCCCGCCUGGGGAGUACGGCCGCAAGGCUAAAACUCAAAGGAAUUGACGGGGGCCCGCACAA